RNAcentral lists this ribosomal RNA (492 nucleotides) under uncultured bacterium. RNAcentral describes it as "partial 16S ribosomal RNA". It matches the Rfam family "Bacterial small subunit ribosomal RNA", at positions 28 to 507 of the family's 1533-position model. The record is from RNAcentral.
GGUGAACGCUGGCGGUAGGCCUAACACAUGCAAGUCGAACGGCAGCACAGUAAGAGCUUGCUCUUACGGGUGGCGAGUGGCGGACGGGUGAGGAAUACAUCGGAAUCUACUUUUUCGUGGGGGAUAACGUAGGGAAACUUACGCUAAUACCGCAUACGACCUACGGGUGAAAGCAGGGGAUCUUCGGACCUUGCGCGAUUGAAUGAGCCGAUGUCGGAUUAGCUAGUUGGCGGGGUAAAGGCCCACCAAGUCGACGAUCCGUAGCUGGUCUGAGAGGAUGAUAAGCCACACUGGAACUGAGACACGGUCCAGACUCCUACGGGAGGCAGCAGUGGGGAAUAUUGGACAAUGGGCGCAAGCCUGAUCCAGCCAUACCGCGUGGGUGAAGAAGGCCUUCGGGUUGUAAAGCCCUUUUGUUGGGAAAGAAAAGCAGCAGGUUAAUACCCCGCUGUUCUGACGGUACCCAAAGAAUAAGCACCGGCUAACUUCGUG